Non-coding RNA from Clostridiales bacterium 41_12_two_minus, 119 nucleotides. NCBI's taxonomy places the organism in Bacteria, Bacillati, Bacillota, Clostridia, Eubacteriales. The record is from Rfam.
UUAAAGAUACUUGCGUCACGUCCUAAAGUCGAGCGUUGAAGCGGCCGAGCAGAGCCGUGAGCCGUCGCAACAAAGGAUGGCGCCUCGGUGAGAACCACGGAGAGGUGAGAUUCCUAUGA